AAUUAUUCUUUCCUUGUAGAUAUUUUGUAAAGUCCCGAAAAGCCUUUAUGAAACUGCUAGUACAAGGUUUCAGCAAAAGGAAAGUUAAUCUCAACAUGACCCAUGCAAUAAUCCACACCUUUCAGACUAACAAAGACAAUGCCAAAUUAUACGACUCUCCAAGAUAUUCAGCUAACCAGAGUGGCUCAUUCCACUUCCAGGAAGAUACAGGACGCAACACUGCAGAAUUCUUUGGCUAAGCACAAGAACUGGUGAUUCUUUGGAUUCAUGUGAUCUUAGGAAAUACUUCUAAAUAAAAGAUAAAAAGACUGAAACCCUCCAGACAUCCAGAAAAUGUGGUCUUCUCUACUCUUCUGACACGUGAUAUAGGAAAAGAUACAGAGCAAACAGGACGCUCCAGAGGAGCAGUUCCAAGGCAAAGGGCAGGAGCAGCACGGUGUGGGAGAAGAGGGAAGAAGAGGGAGGGGCAGCUGAAUUGCCAGCACCUGAUAGCCUCCCAGCCAAACCAGUCAAGAUCACUUUUCAGAGGCUCCAGGAUCUACCAUUAGAUCCCGAUCUACUCACUGUUUCCAGUACUGCUAAUCUGUCUUCUUUGGGAAGUGUAAAAAAGGAACAGGAUGGCAGCUCCUAAUACCCUAGAGAACUGGAGGCAGUAAGACAAGCUUCCUCCAAACUUAGAACUGUGAGGUCUACACCUACACACCCCCACACAUGCACAAUUAAGGUUCAAUUUUGACAGAUUACACAAAGUGGAGGUAGGUAGCUCUUCCCCUGUAAGUAUAAAAAUACCAGAAAGCAUGCAACACAUUUUAAAACAAAUUGUGGUUUUAAGCCACUUGAGAUUAUUUGGAACAUGAACCACAAGUUUUUAAUGUUUGGGAUCGGCAACACCCUCUCCUCCAAGUCAUUCCUUUACACGUACUUCUGCCAGAAAGUUGAUGAAAUACUAGCCCUCUCCUCAAAAAUACUAAUUACGUAGACUGAAGACUCUCCAGGAGCAAGAUUCCAUGCAUUAGUUGUGCUAUUCUAUCAACGCUUUCUCUACAUCCCAUCCAACAUUUGUACAUUGCAAUCCAAUGAGACAACGUCUUCAGGCAGAGUCCUUGUCUUCUUACCUGCCUCAAUGUCAACAUUGUUGAAACUAUGCAAACAUAAUAAAAGCAAUAUUUAUGGAGACAAUAUCAGCAGUUCUUACAAUGUGCGGUGUAUGUGUAAAUCUGUACUCAACUACUAUAAAUAGGAAUCUUAAAAAACAAAAAUCAAAGGAAUAAUCUGUAAAGGGGGAAAAAUGACCUUGCUUCUAACAAAUACAGAAAGACCAAAGGUCUAAGGAUACAGUGAUGUUUUUCAAUUGGAUCAAGUAUGUUUACUUUUCCCACUUGCAUGACUGAACUGUUAGGCUCCAAGGCCACAAUUUACAUAUAUAUUUACUUAAUUUAACUUGCCUUUUUUUCCCAAGUCAAAAACAAAACGUACUCAUUGAAUUUUCAAGUCAUAAAGGUAUUUUGCCACAGGUACAUUUUAUUUUUAUUAUAGUAAUGCCGAGAGACCACCAAAUCACAAUCAGGUGCUGAAUGUACUAAAUAUUGUAAAUAAUGUCUAAAAGGAAAACAUGUCAUGCUGUCCUUACAUGUAGGAUAUCUAGCUUAACUUGAAUUUUGUUUUUCCUUAGAGGGUGGUACAGACAUAUUCCCCAAUAUGUGUUUAUACAACAUCUAGCACAAUGUCGCUCUGAUCCUGAUUAGACCUUGUUUAGACAAUACAAACCCCAAUAAGAGAAGGAUACUAUGCACAACUGAAAGUAAUUUCUAAGAAAAUAAGUUGUAAACAAGUUAAUGUUAA
This is a non-coding RNA of Pelodiscus sinensis (Chinese soft-shelled turtle), 1842 nucleotides long. The record is from RefSeq and is a predicted model, not a curated record. NCBI's taxonomy places the organism in Eukaryota, Metazoa, Chordata, Testudines, Trionychidae.